AGUACAAGAGAACUGGAGCAUCUCUGGCUCCUUCCAUAAUCGAAGGGCUUCCAGCGUAGGGCGUAGGGGGAGAGGCCCGAAGCCCUGGAGACAGCGCCCGAGGGAUGGAGGCCGCGCUCGGCUGCGCUCAGGUCCGGGUGGCUCCGGGAGCUGAGACCCCGCAGGAUGCAGCGGGGGGGGGCCAGGGCCUGAUCCCCUACCCCUGCGAGCCAGGGCCGCCUACGCCCCCACUGCUUCCCACAGGCUACUAGACGCAACAAUAGAAUUACCAUAUUGUUUUUCCUGGUUUGAAAGGACCAGAUGGAAAGAAACUGGGCAAGCCAAUGAAAGUCUCUGGGGAUCAUGGGAAUUGAGUGUCUAUGAAAACCAUAUUCCAGACAAGAAUAUAGUCUAAGGACACAGCAAGAGGCAACAUUUUGGAAGCAGAGGGCAACUCUCACUGGAAACCAAAUCUCCUGGCACCUUGAUCUUGGAUUUUACAGCCUCCAGAACUGAUAGCUGGGAGGCAUUACAUAGUCAUGUGCGAGGUCAAAACUGAGUCACCACCACAACCAAGUUCCAGCUGGCAAGAAGAGGAAAAAUAACACAGAGGAGUUAUGACCAGUGUUGUAAGGAUCUGGCCUAGAAAUGGCAUGCAUCUCUUCCACUAAUAUCCUAUUGGUAAAAAUGUAGUCACAUGGGCACACCACCUAUCUGCAUGGAAGGCUGGGAAAUGUUGAUCGGUAGGGCAGCCAUAUGUGUAGGAAGGAGAAAACAGAAUUUGGUGGAUACCUAGUAGUCUCUGCCAUACCCUUGACCAGAAAUUUUUCUUCUAAAGAAUUUAAUUCUAAAAGUUAUAGACAUUCCCAAAGAUAUACCUGCAAGCAUCACAGCUUUGUGUAUAAUUGCAAAAGUUGAAAUCAACAUGAAUGCCCAAAAUAGUGAAUUAUUUAAACAGAUUAUUACCCAUAUUAUGAAGAAAUACUCUGCAACUCUUAAAAAUAAAUGUAAUGUGCCAGGCGCAAUGGGAUAUGCCUGCAGGCCCAGCUACACGGGAGGCCAAGGCAGGAGGAUCACUUGAAAUCAAGAGUUCAAGUCUAGCCUAGACAACAUAGUGAGACUUGGUCUCUAAAAAAGAAAAAAAAAAAUAAAACUGAUGUAAUGAAUAUAUAAUUACAACAAAAGAGGUCUAACACUAUAGUAGAAAAGUUUGGGGCACUCAUCCCAUUCAUAAUUAUUUUACAUUUAAAUUACUGUUCCUACUUAAGUGGUGAGCUUGGUAACCAUUUUCAUAUCAGGUGAUACUGCUGCAGUAAUCAUAGCUGUUUGAAUCAGGAAUAAUCCCAAUCACAUUUUCUCUUAAUCGUUUAUUAUACUGGGCAUUGGGGUUGCAAGAUAAUGCACAGUCCGAGCUCAAUACAUGUCUUCAUGUACCUGUAUGUAAAUCCCACUUUUAUUCUAAAAUUCUUUGAAUAUUUUGUUUCUUGGAACCCAAUGAUCCUAAGAAAAUUAUGUACUUUUACCUGAAAAUUAAAACCAAUAUUUAUAAAAAGUGUAUAUGCAGUAUGAUACCACUUUUAAAAAAAGAUAAAUUUAUAGAAAAAAGUUUAUAUGACUGACAACAAUGUCUCUGAGUGGUAGGAUUACAGUUAAUUUUUAUUUUCUUCAUUCUACUUAUCUUUAUUUUCUGAACUUUCUACAAUGAACAUGUUUUAUUUUUACUUUUGUUAAAAUAAAUAACAUUUAAUUUGACGGAAAAUUCUAAAAAUCAACAUUUGGUAACUUAAAUAUUCAUUGGCACAUGAUUCUGUGCCUGUUUCUGGGGGUCAUUCCCAUGAGAAGAGCAGGUAGAACUUAUGAGAAUAGAGCAGUCGAAAUAUUAUAGGUUUCAUAUUUUACGGCUUUAUUGAAAACAUUGAUAUAUUGAAUAUUCAUAAAUUUUAAUUUAACUUUCUUUUAUAAUCCUUAAUGUGAGGCUAAGGUAUAAGGAGAAAGGAGAUUGGUAAGGAAGUGUGAUACAUAUUGAAUCAGGUGUCAAGGUACCAUUUGUGCCUGGAUCUGACCAAUAGACCAAGGUAAAAAUCUCAAAGAAUGAGACUUGUAAUGAGAAUGCCACAAACUUGAAUACCUUAUGCACAAAACACAAACAUUGUUAUGCAUAAUGUACAUGAACCCUGAAACAAAGAUAAUGAUUUGGACCACCCAACUGAAGUGGCAUGUUAUGUUUUUGGCAUGAACAAAAGAAACAAGAGAGAAAAAAAUCAAAAUAAUUAAAAUAAAUUGUUAGAGAAAAGUUACUUUAAAAAUAGCUAUAACGCUUUGCAAUUUCAGUAACAGUUCUGCCUCUGAUGCAAUGUAAAACAUGUAUUAGACAUUCAGGCUCCACAAUAAAUUUUAAUGAGCACUACAAAUUUAGAAUAUAUAAAAAUAUCAGUAACCUAUGAAUUCAUCAACAUAACUCACUUUUCAGUUAAGUUAGGCUGAGUUGAAAUUCUACUAAGUUUUCCCAUAUUCUUGAUAAAGGCUAAAUUUGAAAUAAUUUAUUUAGAUGACUAAUUGGCAAUUUGAUAGUAGUUACAUUUUAUGUAACACUUGAUAUAAUAACCCAAAUUAAUUAGCUCAAUAUUAUCUUCUGUGGUUUAUUGAUCCAAAAGUACAUAUUUGUUAUGUAAACUUAUACUAUGUAAACUUGAAUUAGUUUUUUGCUUCCUUGAAUUAAUAAAGCCCAUUAAUGCAAAUCUAAGCCUUCAUAGACUUUUCCAAUCCUUAGUUAAAUAUUAAAAACUGAGUAUUGUAGUUAUUUGCUAGGUAUAAAAGGUGACUCAGAGUAGAGAGUAAGAUGUCAGCAAAUAGACAAUAAGAUGUCAGCAAAAGUGCCUCAAAUUUUAACUGCGUCAAGUUAAGGGCAUUGUAAAUACUGUAGUUUUAUGUAGCUUGCAACUUCUACUGAAAUGAGUUUAAUCAUGUCUUUCACAUAGCUGAAGUUUGUGUCAAGAUUUAAGCUGAUUUUCUCAUUCUUAUCAAAGUCUCACCUGGGGGUAGGGAGGGGUAGGCCUACCUCCCACCUCUAUACUAUCAUUUUAGGAACAGACAGGCAUAAAUCUGUUCAUAUGGUAGAACACAUGAUGUUAGAGUAUAUUUUGUUGAAUGCUAUGGAAUAUUAAUAUAAUUAAUUCUAAAAUAUCACCUAAAAUAUGUCAACUGAAGAUCUGACUGUACUAAAUAUGAAAAAUAAAGCAGCACAUACUUUC
Molecule: long non-coding RNA, 3230 nt
Filed under: Homo sapiens (human)
Lineage: Eukaryota; Metazoa; Chordata; Mammalia; Primates; Hominidae
Description: WDFY3 antisense RNA 2, transcript variant 2 (WDFY3-AS2)
Source: RNAcentral